This 512-nucleotide ribosomal RNA is filed under the name uncultured bacterium. RNAcentral describes it as "partial 16S ribosomal RNA". It matches the Rfam family "Bacterial small subunit ribosomal RNA", at positions 28 to 507 of the family's 1533-position model. The record is from RNAcentral.
GAUGAACGCUGGCGGCGUGCCUAAUACAUGCAAGUCGAACGAAACUUCUUUAUCACCGAGUGCUUGCACUCACCGAUAAAGAGUUGAGUGGCGAACGGGUGAGUAACACGUGGGCAACCUGCCCAAAAGAGGGGGAUAACACUUGGAAACAGGUGCUAAUACCGCAUAACCAUAGUUACCGCAUGGUAACUAUGUAAAAGGUGGCUAUACUACCGCUUUUGGAUGGGCCCGCGGCGCAUUAGCUAGUUGGUAGGGUAAAGGCUUACCAAGGCAAUGAUGCGUAGCCGAAUUGAGAGGUUGAUCGGCCACAUUGGGACUGAGACACGGCCAAAACGCCUACGGGAGGCAGCAGUAGGGAAUCUUCCAAAAUGGGCGAAAGCCUGAUGGAGCAACGCCGCGUGGGUGAAGAAGGUCUUCGGAUCGUAAAACCCUGUUGUUAGAGAAGAAAGUGCGUGAGAGUAACUGUUCACGUUUCGACGGUAUCUAACCAGAAAGCCACUGCUAACUACGUG